This 253-nucleotide ribosomal RNA is filed under the name uncultured bacterium. Its description in RNAcentral is "partial 16S ribosomal RNA". It matches the Rfam family "Bacterial small subunit ribosomal RNA", at positions 524 to 776 of the family's 1533-position model. The record is from RNAcentral.
UACGUAGGUGGCAAGCGUUAUCCGGAAUUACUGGGCGUAAAGCGCACGCAGGCGGUCUUUUAAGUUUGACGUGAAAGCUCCCGGCUUAACUGGGAGAGGUCGUUGAAUACUGGAAGACUUGAGGCAAUGAGAGGGGUGUAGAAUUCCCGGUGUAGUGGUGGAAUGCGUAGAUAUCGGGGGGAAUACCAGUGGCGAAAGCGGCACCCUAGCGUUAGCCUGACGCUCAUGUGCGAAGGCGUGGGGAGCGAACGGG